GCAACCGCCCGGACGGGCCGCAGCCUCGGGGCCCGCGGCCUCCGCUUCCCCGGCCGGCGCGGGCAGCCCGGAGCCCGGCCCCGCCGCUCCGCCUGGGGAGAAGGAGCCGCUGGCGGGGCCGAGACCGCACCGGGUCCGUGCACGGAAAAGCCACCGGCAGGUUGUGUGAUCUGCUCCGGGGCGGGGGGAGGCAGGCGCUGGACACGUCCCACUGCGCUACCCGGACGCGGCCGCUGCAAAACAGCCGAAUGCGAAGUCGCUGAGCUUAGCGGUGGAACAAGCGCGAUCUGCCUUUCCCCUCCUUCCUGCCGAGCUCCUGGGAAGAUGCGCCUCUGCCCGCACACACAGCAGCGUCCGUGCACCUGCAGGUCGUGUUCACCCACAACGAGACCCAGCCUGAGCAAAUGCAACUGCCUCCCGUAGCGCAGCCGCGCCGACCGGCACCAGCCCUCCGCAGCGCCAGGCCGGGGCCCCCGGGCUCCCCGCGCCGAGCACGGAUGCGCCGCCCCCGGCCGCCCGCCCGGUCCCACGGAGCAGCAGCUGCGGCCCCGGCCGCUCCAGGCCCGCCCGCCCAGCGCUCACCGGCCAAGCGCUGGACCCGGCGCUGUCCCUCGUCCGCGCCGGUGCCGCUCCCGCUGCAGGAACGGGCCGCGGAGCCGCCCCGGGCCCGGUUGUGGCUCUGACUGUUCCCGCCGCGCCGCGGAACCGCCCGGCCCGGCUGUGCCGCUGGCGGCCGCCGAGCGCCGCUCCCCUCUGGGUGCCGGCGCCGCCGCUCCGGGCCGCCCCUUCGCUCCGUUUCACUCGGAUCUCUGCAGCUCCUCGCCCGAUUGCAGGGAAGGGAGGUGGCCCCCCACGUUUUUACUCACUGAAAGCGGUGGGUUGGCGAGACCUCACUCGAGUUGUACCAGGGUUACAGACAGAGUAAAGCAAGUUUAGAAACUAAUCUUCGCCUGGGCUUUGAACACACUGAUACAGGGCACUGGAACCGCACGAAGAAGCAAAGGUAGUUUUCUGCCUCCUAAGUGAAAAUACCCGCACCUGAAAGCCGGAUUAGUCACACCUGCUCCUUCCCGUGUAUCUUUAAACGAAACGCGCCCCAAGGAAGUCGGAACUCUGUGUUCAGCGAUGGGUAUCUUUACAGCACAGGGCGCUUUGUGAUGCGCCCGGGUGGCGAACAGCGCGGGGCCGCGGCCGCUGCCCCCGCGCCCGGAGCCGCCGCCGGCUCGGCGAUGGGUCCGGCAGAUGAUGGGCCCGGGUCCGGGUCCGGGCUCGGGCGAUGGGUCCGGCAGCCCGAACGGGCGGAGCCGCUCCCGGGCCGGGCCCCGCGGAUGGGAAACGUCCCGGGCACCGCACCUGCCCCACAAAACGCCUCCGGGCUCUCGUUUACAUGCGUCUCUUGAACCUCUGCGGGUUAAAUUUGAGACUUUCAACAAUUUACCUUGUCAGGUUACCUGUGUAACUAACUAACGCCUCGAGAUGGAUUAGGGCUAUUUAUGGUCUUGCAGUUCAUAGCUCUGGUGAAUUCAUCUACAAACGAGGCUUCAGCCAGAGGCUGAAAAGGCAGCAGUUGUGUUUUUAUUUUAUGUUUUUAUUUCUGAACCGGAGGUAAUCACGAAGCAGUUUACGGUGCACACCGACUGAACUGCUGGGAGCUGGCACCUCGGGAACGGCUCAUGAAGGUGCACUCCUCUGUACAUCAGCGCUCGGAUACGAACUCCUGACCGCCUCCUCGCUUCGUACCGUGUUUUGAUCAACACCAGGACUGUGUUCUAUUACACAGGUUUUCAUGGGAAAAAUAAUAACCCCGUUAAUUGGCAGGACAUUAAAAGGCAACUCAUUAAUAAGAAAUGUGACCAUUUACUAAUUUCCCCAUAAUCCCCAAUGCCCAAAUUAAAGGGACAGACACAGCCGUAUUCACCACGAUCAGUUUUAUUGCUUGAGAACCGGAGUACUCACUUGUAAAGGCCUCGGACGUUACUGUGAGUCGCGUUCGCUUACACAGAACUGCCGUGCGGUUACAGCGCGGCACGGUAACGCCGCGGAGCCGCGGACGCCCCUCGGGCAGCAGGGCUGAGCACAAACCAGACCCUGCUGCUGAGAAAACACUCUGCAAGCGGACAUCGAAUAAUUUUAAAUGGUAGUGAUUUAUAUCAAAAUCAAGCAUCAAUCUAAUGCCAUCACGCAGUCCAUGAACUCUGUAGUGUUCUAAAUUAAAUCAAUAAAACAUACAUUUGUGUUUCA
This is a long non-coding RNA of Columba livia (rock pigeon), 2241 nucleotides long. RefSeq lists it as uncharacterized. The record is from RefSeq and is a predicted model, not a curated record. Lineage: Eukaryota; Metazoa; Chordata; Aves; Columbiformes; Columbidae. The transcript is spliced from 2 exons.